Molecule: ribosomal RNA, 254 nt
Filed under: uncultured bacterium
Lineage: Bacteria
Description: partial 16S ribosomal RNA
Rfam family: Bacterial small subunit ribosomal RNA
Source: RNAcentral
UACGGAGGGGGCUAGCGUUGUUCGGAAUUACUGGGCGUAAAGCGCACGUAGGCGGCUUUGUAAGUUAGAGGUGAAAGCCCGGGGCUCAACUCCGGAAUUGCCUUUAAGACUGCAUCGCUAGAAUUGUGGAGAGGUAAGUGGAAUUCCGAGUGUAGAGGUGAAAUUCGUAGAUAUCGGGAGGAACACCUGUGGCGAAGGCGGCCAUCUGGACGACGAUUGACGCUGAGACGCGAAAAGCGUGGGUAGCAAACAGG